This 406-nucleotide ribosomal RNA is filed under the name uncultured bacterium. RNAcentral's name for it is "partial 16S ribosomal RNA". It matches the Rfam family "Bacterial small subunit ribosomal RNA", at positions 30 to 526 of the family's 1533-position model. The record is from RNAcentral.
AUUGAACGCUGGCGGCACGCCUAACACAUGCAAGUCGAACGAGUGGCGGACGGGUGAGUAAUGUCUGGGGAACUGCCUGAUGGAGGGGGAUAACUACUGGAAACGGUAGCUAAUACCGCAUACUAUCGGAUGUGCCCAGAUGGGAUUAGCUAGUAGGUGGGGUAAAGGCUCACCUAGGCGACGAUCCCUAGCUGGUCUGAGAGGAUGAUCAGCCACACUGGAACUGAGACACGGCCCAGACUCCUACGGGAGGCAGCAGUGGGGAAUAUUGCACAAUGGGCGCAAGCCUGAUGCAGCCAUGCCGCGUGUAUGAAGAAGGCCUUCGGGUUGUAAAGUACUUUCAGCGGGGAGGCGUUACCCGCAGAAGAAGCACCGGCUAACUCCGUGCCAGCAGCCGCGGUAAUAC